Molecule: ribosomal RNA, 683 nt
Filed under: uncultured Tomentella
Lineage: Eukaryota; Fungi; Basidiomycota; Agaricomycetes; Thelephorales; Thelephoraceae
Description: eukaryotic LSU rRNA
Rfam family: 5.8S ribosomal RNA (bases 262-416)
Source: RNAcentral
UUAGAGGAAGUAAAAGUCGUAACAAGGUUUCCGUAGGUGAACCUGCGGAAGGAUCAUUACCGAACUGUCGACACGAGCUGUUGCUGGCCCCCGAAAGGGGACACGUGCACGCUCUGUUUACACAUCCACUCACACCUGUGCACCCUCUGUAGUUCUAUGGCCUUGGGGACCCUGUCCCCUUGCUGUGGUCCUACGUCUUUACACACACACAUCGUAACAAAGUCUCAUGGAAUGUAUGUCGCGUUUAACGCAAUACAAUACAACUUUCAGCAACGGAUCUCUUGGCUCUCGCAUCGAUGAAGAACGCAGCGAAAUGCGAUAAGUAAUGUGAAUUGCAGAAUUCAGUGAAUCAUCGAAUCUUUGAACGCACCUUGCGCCCUUUGGCUAUUCUGAAGGGCAUGCCUGUUUGAGUAUCAUGAACACCUCAACUCUCAUGGUCCGCCAUGAUGAGCUUGGACUUUGGGGGUCUUGCCGGCCUAGCGUCGGCUCCUCUCAAAUGGAUCAGCUUCCCAGUGUUUGGUGGCGUCACAGGUGUGAUAACUAUCUACGCUUGUGGUUUCCUGCCAUUAACCUUCAGCAAUGGAGGUUCGCUGGAGCUCACAGAUGUCUCUCCUUGGGGAGGACAGCUUUUGAAUGUCUGAUCUCAAAUCAGGUAGGACUACCCGCUGAACUUAAGCAUAUCA